Long non-coding RNA from Caretta caretta (loggerhead turtle), 829 nucleotides. RefSeq lists it as uncharacterized. Lineage: Eukaryota; Metazoa; Chordata; Testudines; Cheloniidae. The record is from RefSeq and is a predicted model, not a curated record.
GGAUCUGCCGUCUGAAUCUGACCACAACUGAAUAAAUUGAAAAGUUAGGCUGCUGUGGAUUAGUAUCACUAUUCCCCUGCUUCUGGAGUUGAAAGAAAAGCGAUGUUCAUAUCACACCCACAGAUUUUUAAUUCUGUCUGCAGCUUCAUUCCUUAAAUGGGUCUCCUGAAGAGCAUCCCAGACCACAGCUGAGUGCGGCGGACCCCAUGCCAGAUUUCAAAGUGUUUGGCCAAUGGCAGCAAGCAUGAUUGUCCCCAAACCACACAUUGGAAAAAGGAGGCACUGAGAGGGAAAGUGACUUGCCCAAGGACACAUGAGAUGGGAGAGUGUAACCAGGGGAAAAUGUGUGUGCAUCCAGGAAGGUUAAAAGAUGUACAAUGGAUGUUAAAAAGUGUACUCAAAGGCGAAGGUGGAGAGGAAAAAAAAAGCAGGAACUCCUUACAGUGAGAUGAUGAUAUAUGGGAAAUAUAUCAGAAGAGUCCAGAACUAAGUCUUAUUCAGGUCUUAUUGACUUCAAUGGGAGCUGGAUUAAGUCUAUGGUGACUAGAGAACAUAAUAUAUACAAUAGAGAUUGAGGAAAACACUCCGUAAACUUUAUAUCCUUCAUCUAUGAAUAAAAUAUGCCUUCAACUCAGGAAUUCUUUCCUAUACACACAUGAACUUUUUUAUUUCAAUCCCCAUCUAACUCCUUAGACAAAAACAUCAAAUCCACUAGGGAGAUCUAUAAUCCAUAGAUAACAUAGGCUGAAAAGAAUGUCAGCAUUUCAAAUAGCAAUUUAUAUUUUGUAUGGUUUAUAACAUAGCAAUAAAAAUGUAUCCCAGCCUGAAA